RNAcentral lists this ribosomal RNA (426 nucleotides) under uncultured bacterium. RNAcentral describes it as "bacterial SSU rRNA". It matches the Rfam family "Bacterial small subunit ribosomal RNA", at positions 917 to 1344 of the family's 1533-position model. The record is from RNAcentral.
GGGCCCGCACAAGCGGUGGAGCAUGUGGUUUAAUUCGAUGAUACGCGAGGAACCUUACCAGGACUUAAAUGUAAGUUGCAUGAUUCAGAAAUGAAUCUUUCUUCGGACUACUUACAAGGUGUUGCAUGGUUGUCGUCAGCUCGUGCCGUGAGGUGUCAGGUUAAGUCCUAUAACGAGCGCAACCCCUAUCGUUAGUUGCCAUCAAGUAAAGUUGGGAACUCUAGCGAAACUGCCGGUGCAAACCGAGAGGAAGGUGGGGAUGACGUCAAAUCAUCACGGCCCUUACGUUCUGGGCUACACACGUGCUACAAUGGUCGGUACAGAAAGCAGCCACUAUGCGAAAUAGGAGCUAAUCUUUAAAAACCGAUCUCAGUUCGGAUCGCAGUCUGCAACUCGACUGCGUGAAGCUGGAAUCGCUAGUAAUCG